GAUGAACGCUAGCGGCAGGCCUAAUACAUGCAAGUCGAGGGGUAGAGAUAGCUUGCUAACUUGAGACCGGCGCACGGGUGCGUAACGCGUAUGCAACCUACCUUUAUCUGGGGGAUAGCCCGAAGAAAUUCGGAUUAACACCGCAUAAAAUCACAGUAUCGCAUGAUACAAUGAUCAAAUAUUUAUAGGAUAAAGAUGGGCAUGCGUGUCAUUAGUUAGUUGGCGGGGUAACGGCCCACCAAGACCACGAUGACUAGGGGAUCUGAGAGGAUGACCCCCCACACUGGUACUGAGACACGGACCAG
Molecule: ribosomal RNA, 305 nt
Filed under: uncultured bacterium
Lineage: Bacteria
Description: bacterial SSU rRNA
Rfam family: Bacterial small subunit ribosomal RNA
Source: RNAcentral